CAGUAGCCGCGGUAAUACGUAGAGUGCGAACGUUAAUCGGAAUUACUGGGCGUAAAGCGUGCGCAGGCGGUUGUGUAAGACAGGUGUGAAAUCCCCGGGCUUAACCUGGGAACUGCGCUUGUGACUGCACAGCUAGAGUAUGGCAGAGGGGGGUGGAAUUCCACGUGUAGCAGUGAAAUGCGUAGAGAUGUGGAGGAACACCGACGGCGAAGGCAGCCCCCUGGGCCAAUACUGACGCUCAUGCACGAAAGCGUGGGGAGCAAACAGGAUUAGAUACCCGCGUAGUCCCUGUCUCUUAUAC
This 301-nucleotide ribosomal RNA is filed under the name uncultured bacterium. RNAcentral describes it as "partial 16S ribosomal RNA". It matches the Rfam family "Bacterial small subunit ribosomal RNA", at positions 509 to 807 of the family's 1533-position model. The record is from RNAcentral.